UUGGAGUGAACCCAAAGGGCUGUGAUUCAAAAGGAAAUGUGUCAUCUAUUAGAUACACAUCUAAUGCAUUAGAUGGGAGAUGGUGACUAAGACAUCCGAAUCUUAGAGGAUGGAGAGUGUUAGGCCAGGUAAUGACCAGUUAUGGGGAAGAUAACGGUCGUGGCAGAAGCAAAUCAAGGGAGGAUUCAGUGGCUGUACGAGAGUGCUUGCUUUGCUUCCAGAAACACCAGGGUGAUUUAAUUUGCUACUGAAGACUGGAUUCAUCACCUCCUUGGCUCAUUGGAUAUCAUUGCUGCAGAAAAACAAAAGCAAAACUACAAAGCCACCGGCAGUGAAAAUGAAAAUACAUAGAUGGGAUUGUGCUAAAGU
Mastomys coucha (southern multimammate mouse) is the source of this 369-nucleotide long non-coding RNA. RefSeq lists it as uncharacterized. Lineage: Eukaryota; Metazoa; Chordata; Mammalia; Rodentia; Muridae. The transcript is spliced from 3 exons. The record is from RefSeq and is a predicted model, not a curated record.